This 196-nucleotide ribosomal RNA is filed under the name uncultured bacterium. Its description in RNAcentral is "partial 16S ribosomal RNA". It matches the Rfam family "Bacterial small subunit ribosomal RNA", at positions 326 to 539 of the family's 1533-position model. The record is from RNAcentral.
ACGCUCGACACCUACGCAGCAGUGGGGAAUAUUGGGCAAUGGGCGCAAGCCUGACCCAGCAACGCCGCGUGAAGGAAGAAGGCCCUCGGGUUGUAAACUUCUUUUGUCAGGGACGAAGCAAGUGACGGUACCUGACGAAUAAGCCACGGCUAACUACGUGCCAGCAGCCGCGGUAAUCUGAGCGGGCUGGCAAGGC